GACGAACGCUGGCGGCGUGCUUAACACAUGCAAGUCGAACGAUGAAGCUGGAGCUUGCUCCAGUGGAUUAGUGGCGAACGGGUGAGUAACACGUGAGCAAUCUGCCCUUGACUCUGGGAUAACCGCGGGAAACUGUAGCUAAUACCGGAUACGACACCUUGGGGCAUCCCGGGGUGUGGAAAGAAUUUCGGUCAAGGAUGAGCUCGCGGCCUAUCAGCUUGUUGGUGAGGUAAAGGCGCACCAAGGGGACGACGGGUAGCCGGCCUGAGAGGGUGACCGGCCACACUGGAACUGAGACACGGUCCAGACUCCUACGGGAGGCAGCAGUGGGGAAUAUUGCACAAUGGGCGAAAGCCUGAUGCAGCAACGCCGCGUGAGGGAUGACGGCCUUCGGGUUGUAAACCUCUUUUAGCAGGGAAGAAGCGAAAGUGACGGUACCUGCAGAAAAAGCACCGGCUAACUACGUGCCAGCCGCCGCGGUAA
Molecule: ribosomal RNA, 483 nt
Filed under: uncultured bacterium
Lineage: Bacteria
Description: partial 16S ribosomal RNA
Rfam family: Bacterial small subunit ribosomal RNA
Source: RNAcentral